RNAcentral lists this ribosomal RNA (443 nucleotides) under uncultured bacterium. RNAcentral describes it as "partial 16S ribosomal RNA". It matches the Rfam family "Bacterial small subunit ribosomal RNA", at positions 338 to 795 of the family's 1533-position model. The record is from RNAcentral.
CCUACGGGCGGCAGCAGUGGGGAGUAUUGGGCAAUGGGCGCAAGCCUGACCCAGCAACGCCGCGUGAAGGAAGAAGGCUUUCGGGUUGUAAACUUCUUUUUUCAGGGACGAAGCACGUGACGGUACCUGACGACUAAGCCACGGCUAACUACGUGCCAGCAGCCGCGGUAAUACGGAGGUGGCAAGCGUUAUCCGGAUUUACUGGGUGUAAGGGGCGUGUAGGCGGGACUGCAAGUCAGUUGUGAAAACCACGGGCUCAAACCUGAGACUGCAGUUGAAACUGUAGUUCUUGAGUACUGGAGAGGCUGGCGGAAUUCGUAGUGUAGCGGUGAAAUGCGUAGAUAUUAGGAAGAACACCAGUGGCGAAGGCGGUCUGCUGGACAGCAACUGACGCUGAGGCGCGAAAGCGUGGGGAGCAAACAGGAUUAGAUACCCUGGUAGUC